Micropterus salmoides (largemouth bass) is the source of this 2432-nucleotide long non-coding RNA. RefSeq lists it as uncharacterized. NCBI's taxonomy places the organism in Eukaryota, Metazoa, Chordata, Actinopteri, Centrarchiformes, Centrarchidae. The transcript is spliced from 3 exons. The record is from RefSeq and is a predicted model, not a curated record.
AGAUGGGACAGGAGGAAGAUCAGGAGAAGAAGGAGGCGGAGCAGGAGUAGGGCAGAGUGUUAUGAGUUAAGGAUUUUGGUCUUGUUUUGGUUCCAUAUCUUGUGUUCUGCUGUUUUGCCCUGUUCAUUAUUGUGAGGAUUUUGUGUUGGUUCUCAUUCUUACUACUUAGUCCUGCGUUUUGGUUCUGUGCCUUAGUUCAUGUCUUAGUGUUUAAUCCUGGUCUGUGUACUUCUGUGUUGUUUUUUGCUCAUGUCUGCUCUGUGUUUUGUUUGAUCCCAGUUCAGUCUGUUUACCCCGAUGGUUGUAGUUUAUUUGUAUAAUGUCUGUCUGCUUGUGUUCUGGAUUAGUUUAUUCAUAUUAUUCUGAUCUGUUCUGUCUUAUUUUGAUAUGGCCUGUGUUUAGUAACCUGUGCCUGCCUGUUUCCCCUGUUAGUCCCUCUGCCUGCCUGUGUGUUGGUGUGCUUGAUUAUUCUGAUUGCCUGUCACCUGUGUUGAUCCCUCCCAGAUCGUUAAGUGUGUGUGUGAGAGAGAUUUCCUGCGGAUUUCCCGUUAUGGAGUUUCUGUUGGAUUACCUGUUCUGUUGGAUCUCUUUGUUCAUUUGGAUUGUUUAUGAUUUUUGGAAACUCUGGACACAGCCACUCUACUUGUAUUUCAACAUGACUUAUGGCUCGAUCCUGAGAUGGGACGCCCACUCCCAUCCUCAGAGCACCCACCCUUCCUUCUGCCCAUAUGGUUUGACUUGGUUACAGCGUGAGUGUGCUCAUAAUAUCCUAACAAAGUCAUUCUUUGAUGGCGGCAUUUCUCAUGACUCCCGUAAAAGGGCUCUGCAGAGAGUGAGAGAAAGAAACCGUGAAGGCCAAAUGCGAGGAGGCUGAAAUGGAAACUGAAGAACUCAUCAAGCUCAUUCAUCUUGUCGGAUGUGAAGACCGGGAACGCCAAGCAGAGACAAUUUCACACUCACUCAUCUUUCCCAACACACUCUAUGAAUCAUAUCAGAUAACAGGUCGCAUUUUGAAGCCACUGAGAAUUUAAACAGAUUUGGGACUUCUUGAUAACUGCACUCCCUCUUCCUUUAAUUCUUUAGAGGGAUGGGAUUUGUUUAAGCCUCAUUAUGAGCUAAACUGAGAUCCAGUCCCAGACCAGUUCCCCUUCUCGGGUUGGCAGUGGUGAGCGGAUGCCUCUGGCCGACUAUCAGACAGGUAGUUCAGGAGAUUUAUGCCUCUUUGUCGCCCUUGCCGCACAGCAAAUAGGACGGGAAGGAAACAAGUGAAAGGCGAUACCUCACUGAAGACAAUAUCUUGCAGAAAACUUGCCAAAACAUGCCAAGCUGUCUGGAUGCUGAGCAAAGUCAAUGAGUGGCCUGAACUAUUUCUGGUGUUCAGUAUGAAGCUGCAGGCAAUGCAUGAAAGACAAGUGUGUUCAUUGAGAACACUUUACAACUGACACAAGACUGAUGAUAGGAUCAACAUGAGACUGUUUGUUGAUUUAACUUUUAAUAAUUUCUUUUGUUGAUCUUUGUUGUGUUAGAUAACUUUUAGUUUAUGUGUAAGCUGCUAUAGGCAGGGGGCACAUUACAAAAUCCAAAUUCCAUAAUAUAAAUAUUGAAAUAAUAAAGUUUUAUUAUUAUUUAUUAUUAUUUUCUUUGGAUUUGUUUGUUGAUCAAGUUUCUUUUUUCUCUGUCUCAACUUAAUUUUAAGUAAUUUAUUUGGACAUAUUGUUAUUAAUCGAGUGGAUGUCCUCAUUUUGAAUGAAUGAAUGAUUUUAUUUUCAUGUCUGGUCAGUGGUCAAUUACACAACCCAUGCCAAAUUGGUCUAUUCAGACGCCAAACGUUCCUGUAUGUUUACCCGUUGUUUUCCAGCAUUAUUAAGCUCCCAGUACUCACAGAUCCUCUCAUCUUCAUCCAGUCCACUUAAUAUCUUUAUAGGGGUGUGGAUAUUUAACUUUUAAUACAAUGGCAAAACAGGAUCUUAUCUGAGCAUAGACAGAGGUCUCCUACUUUUAGACAGAUUUUAUGUAACAUUUUUUAUUAAUUGGUUACUAUCUUUAAAAGUUUUACAUAAACACUUUCUAUAGAUGGCCCUGUUUUCAUCACCUGAUCAGUGAUAUGGGAACUUACUGUUUAUGUUAACUAUGUUUUCCUCUCUUUCUUACAAACUGCCGCUCUGUUUACGUAGCAACCUAAGAGUCAAAAGUAAAGGAUAGGAGUGACUAAGAUGAAUAAAAAAUAAAAUAAACCUAUAAACACCUUUCGCUUAUACAGAUAUGAGCAUGACUCGAUAAUUGCACACGUAACUUAUACACUCAUUGUAGCAUCAUACUAAAAUAAAUAAAUGCAAAGAUUUAUGGAUGGAUUUAUACAGUAAAUAAAUAAAAGCAAAUAAAGAUGGAUUAGAAUUAUAAUUCUAAUCCAUCUCUAUUUACUUUAUAUUAGU